This 279-nucleotide ribosomal RNA is filed under the name uncultured bacterium. RNAcentral describes it as "partial 16S ribosomal RNA". It matches the Rfam family "Bacterial small subunit ribosomal RNA", at positions 506 to 784 of the family's 1533-position model. The record is from RNAcentral.
UGCCAGCCGCCGCGGUAAUACGUAGGAAACUAGCGUUGUCCGGAAUUACUGGGUGUAAAGCGCGUGUAGGCGGCAUACCAAGUCUGUUGUGAAAUCGCCCGGCUCAACUGGGCGGGGUCAAUGGAAACUGGUAGGCUGGAGGACGGUAGAGGCGAGUGGAAUUCCCGGUGUAGUGGUGAAAUGCGUAGAUAUCGGGAGGAACACCUGUGGCGAAGGCGGCUCGCUGGGCCGGUCCUGACGCUGAGACGCGAAGGCGUGGGGAGCGAACGGGAUUAGAUA